This 493-nucleotide ribosomal RNA is filed under the name uncultured bacterium. RNAcentral's name for it is "partial 16S ribosomal RNA". It matches the Rfam family "Bacterial small subunit ribosomal RNA", at positions 29 to 523 of the family's 1533-position model. The record is from RNAcentral.
AUUGAACGCUGGCGGCAUGCUUUACACAUGCAAGUCGAACGGUAACAGGUUAAGCUGACGAGUGGCGAACGGGUGAGUAAUGCAUCGGAACGUGCCCGGUCGUGGGGGAUAACGCAGCGAAAGCUGCGCUAAUACCGCAUACGAUCUGAGGAUGAAAGCGGGGGACCGUAAGGCCUCGCGCGAUCGGAGCGGCCGAUGUCAGAUUAGGUAGUUGGUGAGGUAAAGGCUCACCAAGCCAACGGUCUGUAGCUGGUCUGAGAGGACGACCAGCCACGAUGGGACUGAGAAACGGCCCAGACUCCUACGGGAGGCAGCAGUGGGGAAUUUUGGACAAUGGGCGAAAGCCUGAUCCAGCAAUGCCGCGUGCAGGAAGAAGGCCUUCGGGUUGUAAACUGCUUUUGUACGGAGCGAAAAGGCUCUCUCUAAUACAGGGGGCUCAUGACGGUACCGUAAGAAUAAGCACCGGCUAACUACGUGCCAGCCGCCGCAGUAA